This is a non-coding RNA of Paramuricea clavata, 360 nucleotides long. NCBI's taxonomy places the organism in Eukaryota, Metazoa, Cnidaria, Anthozoa, Malacalcyonacea, Plexauridae. The record is from the annotation of a GenBank genome assembly.
CUGGUGAACAACUAUUGGUAUAGGGCACAUUACCCCGGGCCGCAACUGAUAACCUGACUGACCACAUCGAGUCUCUAGGACUGCUCAUUCAGGUCUUCAGUGCGACCUGAAUGAGCAGUGAUUGCGCUUCACGUGGUGAAGUGUUGUCCAUCGGACAGCACUUCCCUGCCAGUAUAUAAUUAUUUAUUGCAUUUCUUCACAUAAGUAGGUUACAAAUCUAUGAGUAACGUGCUAACUAUAUACAGGAAUAUUCAUUUUUCUAAUUAACUGUCCUUACAACACGCCAUAUUGUAGAGACGCAGAUCGGUGUACAUGAUUUUUGGGAGGUGGGUGGGUUUUUUAAAUUUCCACUUCUUUGCC